This 547-nucleotide ribosomal RNA is filed under the name uncultured bacterium. RNAcentral's name for it is "bacterial SSU rRNA". It matches the Rfam family "Bacterial small subunit ribosomal RNA", at positions 355 to 896 of the family's 1533-position model. The record is from RNAcentral.
UGGGGAAUAUUGCGCAAUGGGGGGAACCCUGACGCAGCCAUGCCGCGUGAAUGAAGAAGGCCUUAGGGUUGUAAAGUUCUUUCGGUAUUGAGGAAGGUUGAUGUGUUAAUAGCACAUCAAAUUGACGUUAAAUACAGAAGAAGCACCGGCUAACUCCGUGCCAGCAGCCGCGGUAAUACGGAGGGUGCGAGCGUUAAUCGGAAUAACUGGGCGUAAAGGGCACGCAGGCGGUUAUUUAAGUGAGGUGUGAAAGCCCUGGGCUUAACCUAGGAAUUGCAUUUCAGACUGGGUAACUAGAGUACUUUAGGGAGGGGUAGAAUUCCACGUGUAGCGGUGAAAUGCGUAGAGAUGUGGAGGAAUACCGAAGGCGAAGGCAGCCCCUUGGGAAUGUACUGACGCUCAUGUGCGAAAGCGUGGGGAGCAAACAGGAUUAGAUACCCUGGUGGUCCACGCUGUAAACGCUGCCGAUUUGGGGGUUGGGGUUUAACUCUGGCGCCCGUAGCUAACGUGAUAAAUCGACCGCCUGGGGAGUACGGCCGCAAGGUUA